This 66-nucleotide transfer RNA is filed under the name Amphigerontia montivaga. RNAcentral's name for it is "tRNA-Leu". Lineage: Eukaryota; Metazoa; Arthropoda; Insecta; Psocodea; Psocidae. The record is from RNAcentral.
AUCAUUUUGGCAGACUAGUGCAUUGAAUUUAGAAUUCAAAUAUAUAUUUAAUAAAUAUAUAUGAUA